CUACGGGUCGCACCAGUGAGGAAUUUUGCGCAAUGGGGGGAACCCUGACGCAGCAACGCCGCGUGAGUGAUGAAGGCUUUCGGGUCGUAAAGCUCAGUCAAGUGGGAAGAACCUAUGCAGUGUUAAUAUCACUGUAUACUGACGGUACCACUGAAGGAAGCACCGGCUAACUCCGUGCCAGCAGCCGCGGUAAUACGGGGGGUGCAAGCGUUAUUCGGAAUCAUUGGGCGUAAAGGGCACGUAGGCGGCUUGGUAAGUCAGAUGUGAAAGCCCGGGGCUUAACCCCGGAAGUGCAUUUGAUACUGUCAGGCUUGAGUAUGGGAGAGGGAAGUGGAAUUCCUGGUGUAGAGGUGAAAUUCGUAGAUAUCAGGAGGAACACCGGUGGCGAAGGCGACUUCCUGGACCAAUACUGACGCUGAGGUGCGAAGGCGUGGGUAGCAAACAGGAUUAGAUACCCCAGUAGUC
RNAcentral lists this ribosomal RNA (465 nucleotides) under uncultured bacterium. RNAcentral describes it as "partial 16S ribosomal RNA". It matches the Rfam family "Bacterial small subunit ribosomal RNA", at positions 339 to 795 of the family's 1533-position model. The record is from RNAcentral.